This 587-nucleotide ribosomal RNA is filed under the name uncultured bacterium. RNAcentral describes it as "bacterial SSU rRNA". It matches the Rfam family "Bacterial small subunit ribosomal RNA", at positions 102 to 685 of the family's 1533-position model. The record is from RNAcentral.
ACGGGUGAGUAAAGUAUCGGAACGUACCUUUCAGUGGGGGAUAACGUAGCGAAAGUUACGCUAAUACCGCAUAUUCUGUGAGCAGGAAAGCAGGGGAUCGCAAGACCUUGCGCUGAUUGAGCGGCCGAUAUCAGAUUAGCUAGUUGGUGAGGUAAAGGCUCACCAAGGCGACGAUCUGUAGCGGGUCUGAGAGGAUGAUCCGCCACACUGGAACUGAGACACGGUCCAGACUCCUACGGGAGGCAGCAGUGGGGAAUUUUGGACAAUGGGGGCAACCCUGAUCCAGCCAUGCCGCGUGAGUGAAGAAGGCCUUCGGGUUGUAAAGCUCUUUCGGCCGGGAAGAAAUCGCAUGGGUUAAUACCCUGUGCGGAUGACGGUACCGGCAUAAGAAGCACCGGCUAACUACGUGCCAGCAGCCGCGGUAAUACGUAGGGUGCGAGCGUUAAUCGGAAUUACUGGGCGUAAAGCGUGCGCAGGCGGUUUGUUAAGACAGGCGUGAAAUCCCCGGGCUCAACCUGGGAACUGCGCUUGUGACUGGCAGGCUAGAGUACGGCAGAGGGGGGUGGAAUUCCACGUGUAGCAGUGAA